GUUGUGUUUCAAAAUUAUUGAUAUAGUAUGACGGUAUUUCGAUCUGUUGGUUUAAAAACAUAAAGAGAUUUCAUAAAGAGAAUUUGUUGACAAUGUUAAUGUCACUAGUCAGAACGUGGACAUGCAGUCCGGGCGAAUUAUGCAUGAAUGGGAUACAAGCAGAGUUGCAACCAGGAAAUAUUGACUUGAUGUCACCAAUAUUGAGAUUGUGCAACAC
This 217-nucleotide long non-coding RNA is filed under the name Mytilus galloprovincialis (Mediterranean mussel). The record is from RNAcentral. Lineage: Eukaryota; Metazoa; Mollusca; Bivalvia; Mytilida; Mytilidae.